AACACUGUUAACCUGCGGUACCUGCGGAAGGAUCAUUACAAGUGACCCCGGUCUAACCACCGGGAUGUUCAUAACCCUUUGUUGUCCGACUCUGUUGCCUCCGGGGCGACCCUGCCUUCGGGCGGGGGCUCCGGGUGGACACUUCAAACUCUUGCGUAACUUUGCAGUCUGAGUAAACUUAAUUAAUAAAUUAAAACUUUCAACAACGGAUCU
This 213-nucleotide unclassified non-coding RNA is filed under the name soil metagenome. RNAcentral describes it as "partial contains 5.8S ribosomal RNA, internal transcribed spacer 2, and large subunit ribosomal RNA". The record is from RNAcentral.